CGCUCCUUAAUUAGACACUUGAGGCCUUUGCGACUUACAGUAGAGUUGUAAAAUGUGAAGAAAUGUCGCAGCACUUUUUCUAAUGACACCACAGAAGAAUACAGCUGUAACGUUACUCAUAUGAAACAUCCUGUGCUUAGUAUUUUUAGCACUGUUAGCUUCACCAUGGCAGCUGGUCAGAAGCCGAGCAAACACCUGAGCUGAGCCUUCACCUGGGUAAGAGACGAGGAUGAAGAGGAUAAAAACGUGCAGCCAAAAUAUGCAGUUCAAUGAAGUGGAAGAGCUCAAUUUCAGUGGGAAAUUAUAUCACUGCUGUUGAACAUUUUGCAGCCAUGAAGGGCGACAGUCUUCAAACGCUGCCGUCGGUCAAUCAUUGGGGAAAUGUUUCAGAAGAGCUCUAAACAUGAGAGAGGAAAUGAGCCGAGACGGAUGUGCCCAAAAACACACCGUGGGAGAUGGAAGCAAACGAGACAAAAGGCAGAAAUGAGGCUUUGGGUGAUCCAGACUGUUAGAGGAGAUGAGCCUCAAGAGUGACUGGAUGAGCUUCGCAAUGGAAGGAGGUGGAAUCAGUGGCUUUUAAGUGUUUAUAGAUUUUAUUGCUCUUUUUGAGUUGGUAAUCAAAGGUAGAUAUUAGCCCAAUUCAGCUCAGCAUCCACUCUUUGUUCUGUUUUGCUCUCUGUCAGCUAAACCUGCCUCUGCACCACUUUCCAUUUCCUCCAUCUACACCAUUAUGGUUUCAUUCAUAUCGCUUCUAUUUUCUGAUGCAUCAUAAAUGCCCUCCCGGCCUUGUCUCCCGCUGGGUUAUAAAAGAUUCAAUCACACUGCAACACAGA
Long non-coding RNA from Epinephelus fuscoguttatus (brown-marbled grouper), 833 nucleotides. RefSeq lists it as uncharacterized. The record is from RefSeq and is a predicted model, not a curated record. Lineage: Eukaryota; Metazoa; Chordata; Actinopteri; Perciformes; Serranidae. The transcript has 3 exons.